GACGAACGCUGGCGGCGUGCCUAACACAUGCAAGUCGAACGGAGUGAAGCCCUUCGGGACUUUACUUAGUGGCGAACGGGUGAGUAACGCGUGAGGAACCUGCCUUUCAGUGGGGGACAACAGUUGGAAACGACUGCUAAUACCGCAUGAUACUUUUUGGAGGCAUCUCUGGAAAGUCAAAGAUUUAUUGCUGAAAGAUGGCCUCGCGUCUGAUUAGCUAGUUGGUGGGGUAACGGCCCACCAAGGCGACGAUCAGUAGCCGGUCUGAGAGGAUGAACGGCCACAUUGGGACUGAGAUACGGCCCAGACUCCUACGGGAGGCAGCAGUGGGGAAUAUUGGGCAAUGGGGGAAACCCUGACCCAGCAACGCCGCGUGAAGGAAGAAGGCCUUCGGGUUGGUAAACUUCUUUUACCAGGGACGAAAAAAGUAGACGGUACCUGGAGAAAAAGACAACGGCUAACUAACGUGCCAGCAG
This 476-nucleotide ribosomal RNA is filed under the name uncultured bacterium. Its description in RNAcentral is "bacterial SSU rRNA". It matches the Rfam family "Bacterial small subunit ribosomal RNA", at positions 28 to 514 of the family's 1533-position model. The record is from RNAcentral.